This 549-nucleotide ribosomal RNA is filed under the name uncultured Glomeraceae. Its description in RNAcentral is "SSU rRNA". It matches the Rfam family "Eukaryotic small subunit ribosomal RNA", at positions 548 to 1098 of the family's 1831-position model. Lineage: Eukaryota; Fungi; Glomeromycota; Glomeromycetes; Glomerales; Glomeraceae. The record is from RNAcentral.
UUGGAGGGCAAGUCUGGUGCCAGCAGCCGCGGUAAUUCCAGCUCCAAUAGCGUAUAUUAAAGUUGUUGCAGUUAAAAAGCUCGUAGUUGAAUUUCGGGGUUAGUAGGUUGGUCAUGCCUCUGGUAUGUACUGGUCUCACUGAUUCCUCCUUCCUGAUGAACCUUAAUGCCAUUUAUUUGGUGUUUUGGGGAAUUUGGACUGUUACUUUGAGAAAAUUAGAGUGUUUAAAGCAAGCUAACGCUUGAAUACAUUAGCAUGGAAUAAUGAAAUAGGACGUUCGAUCCUAUUUUGUUGGUUUCUAGGAUUGACGUAAUGAUUAAUAGGGAUAGUUGGGGGCAUUAGUAUUCAAUUGUCAGAGGUGAAAUUCUUGGAUUUAUUGAAGACUAACUACUGCGAAAGCAUUUGCCAAGGAUGUUUUCAUUAAUCAAGAACGAAAGUUAGGGGAUCGAAGACGAUCAGAUACCGUCGUAGUCUUAACCAUAAACUAUGCCAACUAGGAAUCAGACGAUGUUAAUUUUUUAAUGACUCGUUCGGCGCCUUACGGGAAAC